CGACGCUGGGCGGCGUGCUAACGCAUGCAAGUCGAGCGGGAUGGUAGCUGAAAGUGAUGAGCUGGAAAGCUAUCAUCUUAGCGGCGGACGGGUGAGUAACACGUGAGCAACUACCCCUCAGCACGGGGAUAACAGCUCGAAAGGGCUGCUAAUACCCGAUGGGACCACGUCAUCGCAUGGUGAUGUGGUGAAAGGGUGGACGUAAGGUCCAUACCGGCUGGGGAUGGGCUCGCGGCCCAUCAGCUAGUUGGUGGGGUAACGGCCUACCAAGGCGACGACGGGUAGCCGGCCUGAGAGGGUGACCGGCCACAGUGGGACUGAGACACGGCCCACACUCCUACGGGAGGCAGCAGCGGGGAAUCUUGCGCAAUGGGCGAAAGCCUGACGCAGCGACGCCGCGUGAGGGAAGGAGCCCUUCGGGGUGUAAACCUCUUUGGACGGGGAGAAAGUAGGAGAUAGUACCCGUUUAAAAAGCCACGGCUAACUACGUGCCAGCAGCCGCGGUAAUACGUAGGUGGCGAGCGUUGUCCGGAAUUACUGGGCGUAAAGGGUGCGUAGGCGGCCUGGUAAGUUGAGCGUGAAAUUUUUGGGCCUCAACCCAAAAAGGAGCGUUUCAAGACUGCCAGGGCUUGAGUGCGGGAGAGGACGGCGGAAUUCCCGG
RNAcentral lists this ribosomal RNA (661 nucleotides) under uncultured bacterium. Its description in RNAcentral is "bacterial SSU rRNA". It matches the Rfam family "Bacterial small subunit ribosomal RNA", at positions 31 to 673 of the family's 1533-position model. The record is from RNAcentral.